Molecule: ribosomal RNA, 497 nt
Filed under: uncultured bacterium
Lineage: Bacteria
Description: partial 16S ribosomal RNA
Rfam family: Bacterial small subunit ribosomal RNA
Source: RNAcentral
GAUGAACGCUGGCGGCGUGCCUAAUACAUGCAAGUCGAGCGAACAGACGAGGAGCUUGCUCCUCUGACGUUAGCGGCGGACGGGUGAGUAACACGUGGAUAACCUACCUAUAAGACUGGGAUAACUUCGGGAAACCGGAGCUAAUACCGGAUAAUAUAUUGAACCGCAUGGUUCAAUAGUGAAAGACGGUUUUGCUGUCACUUAUAGAUGGAUCCGCGCCGCAUUAGCUAGUUGGUAAGGUAACGGCUUACCAAGGCAACGAUGCGUAGCCGACCUGAGAGCGUGGUCGGCCACACUGGAAGUGAGACACGGUCCAGACUCCUACGGGAGGCAGCAGUAGGGAAUCUUCCGCAAUGGGCGAAAGCCUGACGGAGCAACGCCGCGUGAGUGAUGAAGGUCUUCGGAUCGUAAAACUCUGUUAUUAGGGAAGAACAAAUGUGUAAGUAACUAUGCACGUCUUGACGGUACCUAAUCAGAAAGCCACGGCUAACUACGUG